Helianthus annuus (common sunflower) is the source of this 1110-nucleotide long non-coding RNA. RefSeq lists it as uncharacterized. The transcript is spliced from 2 exons. NCBI's taxonomy places the organism in Eukaryota, Viridiplantae, Streptophyta, Magnoliopsida, Asterales, Asteraceae. The record is from RefSeq and is a predicted model, not a curated record.
AAACGAAUUCUGACGUGUUCGAAAAUCAGAAUUAAUCAACAAUCUGUGAUUAACAAACAAAUUUUAAACAACGACUUUGUAUUCGAUUAACAGUGUAAGAGUAAGGGACAGGGAUUAAGUAAGGAUCAUUGAUCAGUGAUUUCGUGGUUCACCGUGUGUAUUUUUGAUUGCCGGAAUUUCUCGCGAUUAAGUCUUAAUAACGGUUCUGAACAAUCAGAGACCUUUGAUAUAAGUUUUGUUUCCGUUUGUGACGGCAACUAGAACCACUUGUGGCAUCAUCACCGAACCCAUCAACCUCCACUAAGGAGUAAGCGGGCCCGGCUUCCCGUUUUACCUUCUUCUGGGCCAGAUCUUUCUGCACUCGGGAUGUGGAAAUCGCCAGUUGACCGUCCUUCAGACUUCCAGUAUUGUGCUCCGCAACGUUCACAUGAUACAUAUCCAUCAAAUAACGGCUCAUCUUCUAUCAAGGGUGGUAUCCAUUGGUCUAACUUACGGGAAUCGGUGAUGGAAUAGUUUGAGCCAAUUGUUGAGCGGUGAGAAGAGACCGACUAAUGGCUACAGGCUAUUUGGAAUCGAGUUGCUUGAACACUCAACUGUGGAUGAAACUUCACCGGUGGCUAUGUCUAGAGCAGUGGCUGAACAAAGACCAGUCUUCGUUCUUGAUACAGAAUCUGAUUUGCGUUCUGAUAUUCCUUCCUUAAGCAAGUUGUGAUCCUGAAAAAUCUAGCAUGAGAUCUCAUCUCAGGAGUUGUUGCAUACCAGACAAACCCGCAGCUGUACCAAAGUUCAUAUGCAAGGGAUUGCUGUUGGUAGGGCUGUCGAUUUGAGACAGUUCGGUUGUUAUGAGGAUUUACUGGAAAAUAUGUUUGAAAUUGAAGGUGAACUUCGUGUUGGUUGUUCCUAAGAAAUGGCAGGUUGGACGAUGAGGAUGACAUUAUGAUGGUCGGUGACGAUCCUUGGAAGUAAGUACAUUUCAUCACCAUUAUUACUUCCUAGCCUCAAAUAAGAAAAAUGGAAAGAAAAUAAUAAAAAUAAAGAAGCAUGAAAUUAGUGAAGCUAUUAUAAGAGAUUGCUAUAUGAAUAUAUUUUUCAGUAAAAAAAAAUAACAAA